Molecule: small nucleolar RNA, 100 nt
Organism: Cololabis saira (Pacific saury)
Lineage: Eukaryota; Metazoa; Chordata; Actinopteri; Beloniformes; Belonidae
Product: small nucleolar RNA U13
Exons: 1
Source: RefSeq, a predicted model, not a curated record
AUCCUUUCGGUUCAUGAAAGUGAUGAUUGGUGACGUCACGGGUCUCCGUGAAAGGUGCGAACCGAACCUUGUUACGCUGUCGCACCGACGCCUUCUGAUC